This 433-nucleotide ribosomal RNA is filed under the name uncultured bacterium. RNAcentral's name for it is "partial 16S ribosomal RNA". It matches the Rfam family "Bacterial small subunit ribosomal RNA", at positions 29 to 506 of the family's 1533-position model. The record is from RNAcentral.
AGCGAACGCUGGCGGCAGGCCUAACACAUGCAAGUCGAACGAACCUUUCGGGGUUAGUGGCGGACGGGUGAGUAACACGUGGGAACGUGCCUUUAGGCUCGGAAUAACUCAGGGAAACUUGUGCUAAUACCGAAUGAGCCCUUCGGGGGAAAGAUUAAUCGCCUUUAGAGCGGCCCGCGUCUGAUUAGCUAGUUGGUUGAGGUAAUGGCUCACCAAGGUGACGAUCAGUAGCUGGUCUGAGAGGAUGAUCAGCCACAUUGGGACUGAGACACGGCCCAAACUCCUACGGGAGGCAGCAGUGGGGAAUCUUGCGCAAUGGGCGAAAGCCUGACGCAGACAUGCCGCGUGAAUGAUGAAGGUCUUAGGAUUGUAAAAUUCUUUCACCGGGGACGAUAAUGACGGUACCCGGAGAAGAAGCCCCGGCUAACUUCGU